RNAcentral lists this long non-coding RNA (1068 nucleotides) under Calidris pugnax (ruff). RNAcentral's name for it is "lncRNA (ENSCPUG00000013035.1)". The record is from RNAcentral. Lineage: Eukaryota; Metazoa; Chordata; Aves; Charadriiformes; Scolopacidae.
CCACACGCGAAUACCUGGCUUAAAGGUCAUGUAACUGCCAGUCUAUCUGAUUUUCUCUUUCUGUAGCAUUCUGAAACAAGGCUAGUUCAUCCUCACUGUCAUGUUGUUUUUCUUUCUGUUUCUCUGCAGGGUUCUGGUCCUGGAUGUCCAUACCACAGACUUUUUAGUUUGAUCUCAGUUUCUGCUUGAACAAUGCAAGUGGAUCUGCUGGCAGGAAAAUGUCAUUGUGAAUCAGAGAAUUACUCCUUCCACAGGGUGCACCUUGUAGACAAUACACCAUGUCGCACUCUUCGUACCUGAAAGAGUUUUCCAGCAAUAAUACCUCAGUAGGCCAUGAAAGGUAGCCCAUGACACCUCCCUAAAGGACAGAGAUCAGGCAAGGGAAUAGGCUUUAAUGGACAGGAGAUGAGCACUGCAAGAGCACAGUAUCAAGAGGCUGAUACAAGCUCCAGAGCCACCCCAUCUCAAUUUGGCUACACUUCACAACCCAUGUGCAAGGGGCACAGAGCUAGGACUGCCAUGUUUUGAUCAGCAACAGCCCUUUUAUCCCAGGUCACUUUCCUGGCAACUGAGAGAGGGAUGCAUCAUUAUCGCAACCUGGAUCCUGAGUGAUGCUGAGUGAUGCUGUCCUGCUCUCCUGACAGUCUUAUACCCAAGGAUUGCCCUCCCACUUGUGUGUCUCAACACACUCCCUCACAUAGGAACUACUUCUCCAGGCCUCAGGAAAAAGGAAGUGGGGGACUGCUCAGAGCUGUGUCCAUGACAAAAGGCAUGAGAUCCCCAGAAAAGACAUCCUCCAUUUCUUACCAGUGACGUAGAGUUGAUUCCUCCAGCAGUCUGGAACAAUCUAGCAGCUUCUGUAUGAGAAUGAAUGAGCAGACUAGUGAACUAGACUCUUUUAGCUGGAAAAGAGACAAUUGAGGAGGACUAUUUAGGAGCCUGUAUGAUAGUAACACUGAGAGGGUAGAUGGUCACUGAUCACAGUCUCUUUUGAUACAAGGACUUGGGGGAAUGAAACUAAGUUGGGAAAUGAUAGGCUCAAGGUAAAUAAAAGGUAUGUAUUCUUCA